UGGGGAAUCUUGGACAAUAGGGGGCAACCCUGAUCCAGCCAUGCCGCGUGAGUGAUGAAGGCCUUAGGGUCGUAAAGCUCUUUCGCCUGUGAAGAUAAUGACGGUAGCAGGUAAAGAAACCCCGGCUAACUCCGUGCCAGCAGCCGCGGUAAUACGGAGGGGGUUAGCGUUGUUCGGAAUUACUGGGCGUAAAGCGCACGUAGGCGGACCAGAAAGUUGGGGGUGAAAUCCCGGGGGCUCAACCCCGGAACUGCCUCCAAAACUAUUGGUCUAGAGUUCGAGAGAGGUGAGUGGAAUUCCAAGUGUAGAGGUGAAAUUCGUAGAUAUUUGGAGGAACACCAGUGGCGAAGGCGGCUCACUGGCUCGAUACUGACGCUGAGGUGCGAAAGUGUGGGGAGCAAACAGGAUUAGAUACCCUGGUAGUCCACACCGUAAAACGAUGAAUGCCAGUCGUCGGGUAGCAUGCUAUUCGGUGACACACCUAACGGAUUAAGCAUUCC
Molecule: ribosomal RNA, 500 nt
Filed under: uncultured bacterium
Lineage: Bacteria
Description: bacterial SSU rRNA
Rfam family: Bacterial small subunit ribosomal RNA
Source: RNAcentral